CGGAAUGGCUCAGUUGGUAGAGCGACGCAUUCGUAAUGCGUAGGUCGUGGGUUCGAGUCCCAUUUCCG
Molecule: transfer RNA, 68 nt
Filed under: human gut metagenome
Rfam family: tRNA
About the family: Transfer RNA (tRNA) molecules are approximately 80 nucleotides in length. Their secondary structure includes four short double-helical elements and three loops (D, anti-codon, and T loops).
Source: RNAcentral